This is an RNA transcript of Bufo gargarizans (Asiatic toad), 2994 nucleotides long. It is a transcript of the gene named SH3 domain containing kinase binding protein 1, with no coding region annotated. Lineage: Eukaryota; Metazoa; Chordata; Amphibia; Anura; Bufonidae. The record is from RefSeq and is a predicted model, not a curated record. The transcript is spliced from 19 exons.
AGGGAGGAGGAGGCGCCGGGAGGAAGGAAGGGGAAAUGCUGCGCUCAUCACUGCCAGUCCGCUCUGCACACAGACUCCGGGGCUGACAAUAGCGAGGAGCCCGCUGGACCACACUGACGUCUCCUCCGCUCUAUGAGGCUCCUCACCCAGGGCACCCCUAUCCUUCUCACUGGUGGACGCACAGCACACCUCCGGCAGGAAACUUUAAAGGAGGACCCUGAUUCCACAUAAAUGGUGGAUGCGAUUGUGGAGUUUGACUACAAGGCUCAGCAUGAGGAUGAGCUGACCAUAGUGGCGGGUGAGAUCAUCACCAAAAUCAAAAAAGAAGAUGGCGGAUGGUGGGAAGGAGAGUUGAAAGGAAGGAGAGGACUUUUCCCAGACAACUUUGUACGAGAACUAAAGAAAGACAUUAAGAAAGACGUGAGCAGUAAACCACCAGACAGACCAAACCAGACCAUAUCUAAUGGCAGUGCCAUGCCCUCAAGUGAAGCGGUGGUCCGUGGUUCCGGAAGAGGUGAGCGAACAAGGCGGAGGAGAUGUCAAGUGGCCUUCAGUUAUAUGCCACAGAAUGAAGAUGAACUUGAACUCAAAGUUGGUGAGAUCAUUGAAGUACUUGGAGAAGUGGAGGAAGGCUGGUGGGAAGGAGUACUCAAUGGAAAGACCGGCAUGUUCCCUUCCAAUUUUAUUAAAGAGCUUGUAACUGAAACUGAAAUUGGUGGAAACUUUGAGGAACACCAGAUAAAACAAGGAUUUAUGGAUACUGCCGGCUCUGAAAGUGAUGGGGGCGACUCCAAGUCAGAAGGGACUAAUGGAACAAGCGGAGCAGAAAACCAGGCGAAAAAGAUCAGGGGAUUUGGCUUUGGGGAUAUUUUCAAAGACAAACCAAUUAAACUGCGACCAAGGUCAAUCGAAAUAGAAAAUGACAUUGCUGCUGUAGAAAAGACCAUGGUGAAAAAACUUCCACCAACUAUGACAUCCCAAGAAUCUCUGAAGAUGGAAUCAGAAAAUAAAUCAAAAACCAAGGAAUAUUGUAAAGUUCUCUUCCCAUAUGAAGCCCUCAAUGAAGACGAAUUAACAAUCAGAGAAGGUGAUAUUGUGAUUGUCAUAAACAAGGACUGUGUGGACAUGGGAUGGUGGGAAGGAGAGCUGAACGGCAGAAGAGGAGUGUUUCCAGAUAACUUUGUCAAGCUACUUCCUCCUGAUUACGAGAAGGAAAUCCAUAGACCUAAGAAACCACCUCCUCCAUUGGCUCCAGUUACCAAGUCAGGAACAGUAGGCACAUCAGACAGGAAGCAGGAGAUCAGGAAGAUUCCUCCAGAAAGGCCCGAAACCCUCCCGCACAGGCCAGAUGAGAAGGAGAGGUCCGACAGAGAUCACAAAGUGGAUAGUUCACUGAAACACUCAGUUCCCGCUAUACCUCCAAAGAAGCCCCGCCCACCCAAGACUAGCACAUCCAAUAAAUCUGGCACCCUUCCUCCUCGGAGGCCAGAGAGACCAGCAGGACCUGUAACGCAUGCACGGAGCGACAGUCCGAAGGCAGAGGUGGGGAUCAGUACCGUGUCCAGCACUCCUGACAGAGACUCGUCAGAUAAGAGCAAUGACAUUGAUGUUGAAGGCUUCGAUUCCCUUGUGUCAACUGGAGAGAAACUUAGUCACCCUACCGCUUCAAGACCUAAAUCCAGCGGGAGACGUCCGCCUUCCCAGUCCCUGACAUCGUCCUCCCUUUCCAGUCCUGAUUUCUUUGACUCCCCAAGCCCAGAGGAUGACAAGGAUGAUCUCAAUCACCUGUCACAGAGAACAAUAGACCCCUCCAAGAAAAGCCCACGUAGUGUGACGUCACAGAUGCCAGAUAACAGAGCUGCAUUGCCCCCAAAACCAGGAGGCUUGAUUGCAAGUGUUAGUUUCUCACAUGGAGCACCUGGAGCCCCAUCAGCAUUCCAUUCUGUCACCUCAAGUAGUCACCGGUCAAACUCUCCGUCCUUUGUAAACUCUGAUACAAGACACAAAGCUGAACAUGGCCAGUUAUCACUAGAAGAGCUACAGACACAAGUCAAGGAUCUUAGAAGCAUCAUUGAGACAAUGAAGGACCAGCAAAAAAAAAAGAAAUAAAACAAUUACUCUCCGAGCUAGAUGAAGAAAAGAAGAUUCGCCUACGAUUACAGAUGGAUGUCAAUGAAAUUAAGAAAUCUCUACAAUCCAAAUGAAAAGAGAAAACUUGCGUCACAACCCAUAUCAAAGUCCUAGAAUCAUGAACUGUUCUUCCCUCCCAGGCCAAAAUAUUUUUGGUGCCAAAUGAUCUAAAAUUUGCCUCAAACGCGACAAGCACAACGGCAGUCCAACCUACCACGGACACCCUGGUGACUUCGUGUGCUCUCGCACAUGUAUAUCAGUGGACUCAACGUUGUGCUCAAGUGUUCCUCCUUAAAACUGCGCAUGAAGGAAACUCAGGCAGUUUUACUUCAGAGUGGUACUUUUUUAUGAUAUUUUUCCAUGAAUAAAGUGGAUUUCCAAUUGUCUGUUUACAAGCUUUAUAAUUUUAUGGGUUUUAUUUUUAUUUUAUUUUAUUUUUUGUAUGAAUUUUAUCUCAGAAUUUUGAAAUGUUUGUGCAGCUGUGUAACCUUUCUUGUCCUUUCUGUUACCUCCUGAGACAUACUGUAUGAGCUUGACAUCUCUGACUAUGACUCAAAACGUACAUAUGCAAAGUUCAUACAAUGUGAUUAAAAUGCUUCGCUUUUCAUUGUACUUUACGAAUGUGUACCUUAAGACAGGAAAGCAUGGUAUUUAAAGACGAUUUGUGCCUUUUUUUUGUUUAAAGAAAAAAACACAUUUAGUUAUACUGUAGACCUAUGUCCUAUAGUAAUAAAACCGGGCAGAGGAAGCAUGAUCUUCCUACUUGUAGGGCCAGGACGCCCUUCUCUUGAUGUCACCUGAAAUAAGAAGUUAAUAUUAGUUUUCAAAUAAUGUAAACUGCAAUAAAAGAACCUAUUUUCUUCA